AUGAAAUUGUUCCUGUGUCAAGUUUACAGGAAAAUGCUUCCAAUGAGAUGGUAUUUUCAGCUUUUCUUUAAUUACUUAAAAUCAUUGCUUUUGCAAUGUUUAACUUCUACAAAAGAAUAAUGUGUUCUUUUAUAGAUUGAUUUGUCCUCAGUGCAAAAAGCAUCUUUUGAAGAACUAUUUCCAAAUGUCAGCAAUUAUGUUAAUUCAAAUGAAAUUGUUCCUGUGUCAAGUUUGCAGGAAAAUUCUUCAAAUGAGUUUCCUGCAAAUGCAUCAGAAAUAUGCUGUAUUAUUAGAGCAUCACCAGGAGGAGCUAGACAAGUAA
This 322-nucleotide long non-coding RNA is filed under the name Rhinopithecus bieti (black snub-nosed monkey). RNAcentral's name for it is "lncRNA (ENSRBIG00000046623.1)". The record is from RNAcentral. Lineage: Eukaryota; Metazoa; Chordata; Mammalia; Primates; Cercopithecidae.